CCGCGGUAAUACGGAGGGUGCAAGCGUUAUCCGGAUUUAUUGGGUUUAAAGGGUCCGUAGGCGGAUGCGUAAGUCAGUGGUGAAAUCUCACAGCUCAACUGUGAAACUGCCAUUGAUACUGCGUGUCUUGAGUGAGGUUGAAGUAGCUGGAAUAAGUAGUGUAGCGGUGAAAUGCAUAGAUAUUACUUAGAACACCAAUUGCGAAGGCAGGUUACUAAGUCUCAACUGACGCUGAUGGACGAAAGCGUGGGGAGCGAACAGGAUUAGAUACCCUGGUAGUCCACGCUGUAAACGAUGCUAACUCGUUUUUGGGGAUUUAUCUUCAGAGACUAAGCGAAAGUGAUAAGUUAGCCACCUGGGGAGUACGAACGCAAGUUUGAAACUCAAAGGAAUUGACGGGGGCCCGCACAAGCGGUGGAAUAUGUGGUUUAAUUCGAUGAUGCGCGAGGAACCUUACCAAGGCUUAAAUGGGAAUUGAUCGGUUUAGAAAUAGACCUUCCUUCGGGCAAUUUUCAAGGUGCUGCAUGGUUGUCGUCAGCUCGUGCCGUGAGGUGUUAGGUUAAGUCCUGCAACGAGCGCAACCCCCUGUCACUAGU
Molecule: ribosomal RNA, 596 nt
Filed under: uncultured Chryseobacterium sp.
Lineage: Bacteria; Pseudomonadati; Bacteroidota; Flavobacteriia; Flavobacteriales; Weeksellaceae
Description: bacterial SSU rRNA
Rfam family: Bacterial small subunit ribosomal RNA
Source: RNAcentral